RNAcentral lists this ribosomal RNA (408 nucleotides) under uncultured soil bacterium. RNAcentral's name for it is "bacterial SSU rRNA". It matches the Rfam family "Bacterial small subunit ribosomal RNA", at positions 26 to 432 of the family's 1533-position model. The record is from RNAcentral.
AGAUUGAACGCUGGCGGCAUGCCUUACACAUGCAAGUCGAACGGCAGCACGGGGGCAACCCUGGUGGCGAGUGGCGAACGGGUGAGUAAUGCAUCGGAACGUGCCCAGUAGUGGGGGAUAACUAGUCGAAAGAUUAGCUAAUACCGCAUACGACCUAUGGGUGAAAGCGGGGGAUUCGCAAGAACCUCGCGCUAUCGGAGCGGCCGAUGUCUGAUUAGCUAGUUGGCGGGUAAAAAGCCCACCAAGGCUUCGAUCAGUAGCUGGUCUGAGAGGACGACCAGCCACGACUGGGACUGAGACACGGCCCAGACUCCUACGGGAGCAGCAGUGGGGAAUUUGGACAAGUGGGCGCAAGCCUAGAUCCAGCCAUCGCGCGUGGCGGGAAGAGGCCUUACGGGUUGUAAACGU